RNAcentral lists this ribosomal RNA (273 nucleotides) under uncultured bacterium. RNAcentral describes it as "partial 16S ribosomal RNA". It matches the Rfam family "Bacterial small subunit ribosomal RNA", at positions 524 to 796 of the family's 1533-position model. The record is from RNAcentral.
UAAGGAGGGUGCAAGCGUUAAUCGGCAUUACUGGGCGUAAAGCGCACGCAGGCGGUCUGUCAAGUCGGAUGUGAAAUCCCCGGGCUCAACCUGGGAACUGCAUUCGAAACUGGCAGGCUAGAGUCUUGUAGAGGGGGGUAGAAUUCCAGGUGUAGCGGUGAAAUGCGUAGAGAUCUGGAGGAAUACCGGUGGCGAAGGCGGCCCCCUGGACAAAGAAUGACGCGCAGGUGCGAAAGCGGGGGGAGCACACAGGAUUCGAUAACCGUGUAGUCC